UACGAAGGGGGCUAGCGUUGUUCGGAAUCACUGGGCGUAAAGGGCGCGUAGGCGGCUUUAUAAGUCGGGGUGAAAGCCUGUGGCUCACCACAGAAUUGCCCUUCGAUACUGUAGAGCUUGAGACCGGAAGAGGUAAGUGGAACUGCGAGUGUAGAGGUGAAAUUCGUAGAUAUUCGCAAGAACGACCAGUGGCGAAGGCGGCUUACUGGUCCGGUUCUGACGCUGAGGCGCGAAAGCGUGGGGAGCAAACAGGG
This 254-nucleotide ribosomal RNA is filed under the name uncultured bacterium. RNAcentral describes it as "partial 16S ribosomal RNA". It matches the Rfam family "Bacterial small subunit ribosomal RNA", at positions 524 to 777 of the family's 1533-position model. The record is from RNAcentral.